Molecule: ribosomal RNA, 590 nt
Filed under: uncultured eukaryote
Lineage: Eukaryota
Description: SSU rRNA
Rfam family: Eukaryotic small subunit ribosomal RNA
Source: RNAcentral
CUGGUUGAUUCUGCCAGCAGUCAUAUGCUUGUCUCAUAGAUUAAGCCAUGCAUGUCUAAGUAUAAACACCUUAUACUGUGAAACUGCGAAUGGCUCAUUAAAUCAAUUAUAAUUUAUUUGAUGGGUUUUGCUACAUGGAUAACUGUGGUAAUUCUAGAGCUAAUACAUGCAUACAAACCCCGACUUCUGGAAGGGGUGUAUUUAUUACAUAAAAAUCAACACUGUAGGUGAAUCAUGAUAACUUCUCCGAUCGCAUGGCCUCGUGCUGGCUAUACUUCAUUCAAAUAUCUGCCCUAUCAACUGUCGAUGGUAGGAUAGAGGCCUACCAUGGUUGCAACGGGUAACGGGGAAUAAGGGUUCGAUUCCGGAUAGGGAGCCUGAGAAACGGCUACCACAUCCUAGGAAAGCAGCAUGCUCGCAAAUUACCCAAUCCCGACACGGGGAGGUAUUGACAAUAUGUAACAAUAUCCGGCUUUAUCGUCGUAUGAUUGGAAUGAGUACAAUUUAAAUCCCUUAACUAGGAACAUCUGGAGGGCAAGUCUGGUGCCAGCAGCCGCGGUAAUUCCAGCUCCAAAAGCGUAUAUUAAACU